Non-coding RNA from Dromiciops gliroides (monito del monte), 924 nucleotides. The record is from the annotation of a RefSeq genome assembly. Lineage: Eukaryota; Metazoa; Chordata; Mammalia; Microbiotheria; Microbiotheriidae.
AUGGAUGCCAGUGGCUACAAAGAUAUUGGGGAGAAGGCUGCACACAAGGGAAUCACAAUAUCUGAAGCAAGACCCCCGGACUCCCUAGUCCAUUUGUGUGCAGGGCUACCUGGCUGUGGGCGCAGACACCCUCUACUUCGGGCCGGGCUCCAGGCUCUUGGUUUUAGAUAAUCUGGAAAGGGUGACUCCCCCCAAGGUGACUGUGUUUCAGCCAUCUGAGGAAGAGAUUGAGAAGAAGGGAAAGGCCACACUGGUGUGUCUGGCCACAGGCUUCUACCCUGACCUCGUGGAGCUGAGAUGGUGGGUGAAUGGACAGGAGACCCAAGUUGGGGUCAGCACGGACCCUCAGCCCUCCAGGGAGGAGCCCCAUAACAACCAUUCCAAAUACUCUCUGAGCAGCCGCCUCCGGGUUUCUGCUCCCUUCUGGCGCAACCCCAAGAACAGCUUCCGUUGCCAAGUACUGUUCUAUGGCAUCUCUGAGGACGAGACCUGGACAAGUAACCAGAACAAACCUGUCACCCAGAAUGUCAGUGACCAGAUCUGGGGAAGGGCAGAUUGUGGUGUUACUUCUGAGUCCUAUCAACAAAGUAUCCAGUCGGCCACCGUUUUCUAUGAGAUCCUGUUGGGGAAAGCUGUGCUGUACGGCCUGCUGCUCAGUGCCCUGGUGUGGAGAAGCAAGGCCAAGAGAAACUAUUCCUGAUGCCAACUGUGGUGGUGAAAACAAAGAGGACAGAACAAGAGGAUUUGGCACCCCAGUUUGGUUUCUGCUUUUUCUAUUCCUAUUCUAUGUUCCAGAAACGCUAUUGUUCCCUCAGUCUUUAUGCUCAUCUUUCACAUGUCACCCCAAAGGAAACACUCCAAUUCUGAAAGGAGGAUGGUGGUUUGAUCUUGAAGAAAUAAAAAAAAAUCCUACCCUGGCUUAGC